GGAUGAACGUUGGCGGCGUGCCUAAUACAUGCAAGUCGAACGAAGACUGUAGUAAUACUGUCUUAGUGGCGAACGGGUGAGUAACGCGUGGGUGACCUGCCCCGAAGUGUGGGAUAACAGUCCGAAAGGAUUGCUAAUACUGCAUAAUAUCCAAGAGAUUAGAUGCUUUUGGAUUAAAGGAGUAAUUCGCUUCGGGAGGGGCCCGCGUCCCAUCAGCUAGUUGGUAAGGUAAUGGCUUACCAAGGCGAUGACGGGUAGGGGACCUGAGAGGGUGGCCCCCCACAAUGGAACUGAAACACGGUCCAUACACCUACGGGUGGCAGCAGUAGGGAAUAUUAGUAAUGGGCGAAAGCCUGAACUAGCAACGCCGCGUGUGCGAAGAAGGCCUUCGGGUCGUAAAGCACUUUUUGAGAGGAUGAGGAAGGACGGUACUCUCAGAAUAAGUCUCGGCUAACUACGUGCCAGCAGCCGCGGUAACACGUAGGAGGCAAACGUUAUCCGGAUUUACUGGGCGUAAAGCGCGUGUAGGUGGUUUGGUAAGUAGGGCGUGAAAGCUCCUGGCUCAACUGGGAGAGGACGUUCUAAACUGCCAAGCUUGAGGAUGGUAGAGGGAGGUGGAAUUCCGGGUGUAGCGGUGGAAUGCGCAGAUAUCCGGAGGAACACCAGUGGCGAAGGCGGCCUCCUGGACCACUCCCGACACUCAGACGCGAAAGCUAGGGUAGCAAACGGGAUUAGAGACCCCGGUAGUCCUAGCCCUAAACGAUGUAGACUUGGCGUCGGUGGUUUAAUCGCCAUCGGUGUCGUAGCUAACGCGAUAAGUCUACCGCCUGGGGACUACGGCCGCAAGGUUAAAACUCAAAGGAAUUGACGGGUCCCCGCACAAGCAGCGGAGCGUGUGGUUUAAUUCGAUGCUACACGAAGAACCUUACCUGGGUUUGACAUAGAGGUAGUAGGGAAGCGAAAGCGGACCGACCCUUCGGGGAGCCUCUACAGGUGNNGCAUGGCUGUCGUCAGCUCGUGUCGUGAGAUGUUCGGUUAAGUCCGCUAACGAGCGCAACCCUCGCUGUGUGUUACAAGUGUCACACGGUACUGCCGAUAUUAAGUCGGAGGAAGGUGGGGNNNNNGUCAAGUCAGCAUGACCUUUAUAUCCAGGGCUACACACGUGCUACAAUGGGCGGUACAGAGGGAAGCAAGGCCGCAAGGUAGAGCUAAUCCCUAAAGCCGUCCCCAGUUCGGAUUGCAGGCUGCAACUCGCCUGCAUGAAGUCGGAAUCGCUAGUAAUCGCGGAUCAGCUACGCCGCGGUGAAUACGUUCUCGGGCCU
This 1322-nucleotide ribosomal RNA is filed under the name uncultured bacterium. RNAcentral describes it as "bacterial SSU rRNA". It matches the Rfam family "Bacterial small subunit ribosomal RNA", at positions 27 to 1381 of the family's 1533-position model. The record is from RNAcentral.